This 458-nucleotide long non-coding RNA is filed under the name Drosophila guanche. The record is from RNAcentral. Lineage: Eukaryota; Metazoa; Arthropoda; Insecta; Diptera; Drosophilidae.
AAACAUACGAGCAUUCCUUUGCAAUGCAGGAGCAAAACGAUCGCUGAAUAUUUUACAAUUCUAAGCAAGUUAAACAGGGGAUACCAAUACUAAUAUAAUAAUAAAUUUAAUACGAAAUGACAUUGCGGAUGUACAUAUGUGCAAAUGAUGAUGAUGACUCCUCGGCCCUUAACAAUUUCAUUUAAUUUGUCGCAACGAAUGAGAGCGAACGAAACACGUUCUGUCUGUCUGUCAAUGUCAUCAUCAAUGUCACACUCCGUCCCUGGACACAGGAACAGGCUUUUUGUGACAAAUAAUUCAAACCGCAUUUUAUAAUGAAUUUCCACACAGCCAGAGAUCCGAAGCCCGAGAGAAUGGUUUGGCAUUUGCAAUUAGAGAACAGGACUGACUGCUGCUGACUGCACCUGAUUUCAGCAGCCCCCAUAUUUGGAUGACAUUUGCAGCGAGAUUGCUGCGAC